CUUCACGGAACCGAGCAACAGCGGGCGGUCUGCCGGGUGUUCGCGGCCGUAGGUGGCCAGCAGUGCCUGCGCCUC
Molecule: antisense RNA, 75 nt
Filed under: Streptomyces sp. CB01580
Lineage: Bacteria; Bacillati; Actinomycetota; Actinomycetes; Kitasatosporales; Streptomycetaceae
Description: ASpks TB sRNA
Rfam family: ASpks TB sRNA
Source: Rfam by way of RNAcentral